UGCUGGGUUUUUUUUUCUUAGUUAAUUUCAAUAAAAACAAAAUAUUUGUCAACUUCCAUUCGAAUAUUAUUUUUUUUUUUUUAAAUCUAAUGUUAUUUUUAAUUUUCCAAUGAAUUAAAUCUGAUUCAAUCAUGUGAACUACCCCAUUUCUUAAACUAUAUCCCUUUAGGCAUGUUGUUCUUCUCCUUUCACGAUUUAAUGUAUUGUUUUCUGAAUAUUAACACUUUAAAAAUACUUUAAUAUCUCUCCUAUUGAUACAAUAACGUUUUAUCAAUUUUAAAACUUUUUUGUUUAUAGAGGCAUUAAGUGCUAUUGUAAUACAUUGUACAUAGGCACAUUAUAUUU
This 345-nucleotide long non-coding RNA is filed under the name Mytilus galloprovincialis (Mediterranean mussel). Lineage: Eukaryota; Metazoa; Mollusca; Bivalvia; Mytilida; Mytilidae. The record is from RNAcentral.